AAACAUAACCUUUAGCCACAAACAAGUAUUAAAGGCAACGCCUGCCCAGUGAACAAUUAAACGGCCGCGGUACCCUAACCGUGCAAAGGUAGCAUAAUCAUUUGUCUAUUAAUUGUAGACCAGCAUGAAAGGCAAAAUGAGGGCCUGACUGUCUCUUAUAGUAAAUCAAUUAAACUGAUCCCCUAGUAAAAAAGCUAGAAUACACCCAUAAGACCAGAAGACCCUGUGAAGCUUAAACUAAACUAUUAAACCCAAUAAUAACUACUUUUGGUUGGGGCGACCUUGGAAAAAAAAGAAACUUCCAAAUCAAAUACCACACAGGCCCACAAGCCAUAAACUGACCCAGCAUGACUGACAACUGAACCAAGUUACUCCAGGGAUAACAGCGCCAUCUUCUUCAAGAGCCCAUAUCAAAAAGAAGGUUUACGACCUCGAUGUUGGAUCAGGACAUCCCGAUGGCGCAACCGCUAUCAAAGGUUCGUUUGUUCAACGAUUAAUCAGUCCUACGUGAUCUGAGUUC
Molecule: ribosomal RNA, 520 nt
Filed under: Paikwaophis kruki
Lineage: Eukaryota; Metazoa; Chordata; Lepidosauria; Squamata; Dipsadidae
Description: partial large subunit ribosomal RNA
Rfam family: Bacterial large subunit ribosomal RNA
Source: RNAcentral